This 252-nucleotide ribosomal RNA is filed under the name uncultured bacterium. Its description in RNAcentral is "partial 16S ribosomal RNA". It matches the Rfam family "Bacterial small subunit ribosomal RNA", at positions 524 to 776 of the family's 1533-position model. The record is from RNAcentral.
UACGUAGGUGGCAAGCGUUAUCCGGAAUUAUUGGGCGUAAAGCGCGCGCAGGCGGUCUUUUAAGUCUGCUGUUAAAGCCCACGGCUCAAGCGUGGUUCGCAUUGGAAACUGGGAGACUUGAGUAUUGAAGAGGAAAGUGGAAUACCACGUGUAGCGGUGAAAUGCGUAGAGAUGUGGUGGAACACCAGUGGCGAAGGCGACUUUCUGGUCAAAUACUGACGCUGAGGCGCGAAAGCGUGGGGAGCAAACAGG